Molecule: long non-coding RNA, 5000 nt
Organism: Balaenoptera musculus (blue whale)
Lineage: Eukaryota; Metazoa; Chordata; Mammalia; Artiodactyla; Balaenopteridae
Exons: 6
Source: RefSeq, a predicted model, not a curated record
CAGGCUGCGGGAAGCUGCAAAGCAGGCGCGGGGAAGCCGCAAAGUAGGCGUCGCAAACGUACCUCUGAUCAGAAAGCCGGGGGAGCGACUAGGCAGUGGCCUAAACGUACCGUUGCGGAUUCGACUCACGGGCGCAGCCGCGGCUACUUUGCAGCGGGUUCGGGCCAGGCCCAGCCUGCGGCGGCAACAGCGGGUCUCUGACCGACCGUGAGCCUGGGGACUUUGUCUCCAACGACUGCGGGUGCAGCGGCCUGAGUUCUAAGCGCAGGAGAUGAGUAUACAUCAACAUUUUUAGAAGAAAACGUACAUUGUCACCUUGCUGGGAGAGGCCUUAGGAAGUACUGCUAACCAUCUACCCUGUCAUCAGAAUAGAAGUCCUCCUGGAUUCACGUGAGAUACCAAGCUAGAUCCAUAUCAUCACCCCCCCGCCCCAGGACAGUUAGAAGGCCAUCCCUAUGCGUGACCUCAAAUUGAGGAUUUCAAGAGCUCACUCAGGCUCCAGAAGCAGACGACACCACGAAGUAGACAGCUUUACCCAAGAUCUCCGAUCGAGAAUUUUGUCUCCAUUUAUCUUCCCUUGCAACCUCUGCCUGACCUGCAAAAUUCUCUGACCUAGAAAUUUAAACAAAACCCUUCCUCUUUCAGUUACAGAAGGACUGACUGGAGGUUGCUUGUCUAAACCUAUCCUCCCUCUGUUCCCCCACUACGGGCUCCCUUUCAGACUGUGUCUUGCUUCAGCGAAUUCUUACUGCUUUUUCAACAGUUUUAGCAUGGCCACAACACCCACUCACACCAAUCUUUCAGACCCUGGCCACCUUAACUAAUCAGUCUAAUUGCUGGUUAUGUCAGCGUCUAAAUAACGCACCAGAACCUGACCUAGGUUUUGUCCCUGCCAGUGCAAGCACCUGGUGGACCCAUUCUGGACAGUGGAUGUAUGGAAGGCACUCUGCUUCCUCCUACGGCAGAGUGACUUGGCAUUGGGGAACCCCCAUGGAGGCUCGAGGUCUGUCCUUCACUCAGAUGACACCUUCAGAUCCUCCAAAGAUGUUAUAAAUGAGUUCCAGACUGAUUAUUAUAAUGAUACAAAUGUUUGCCUCGUCACUGGACAGUAUUCCUGGUCUGCAGGCCACACAAAUAGGACCUGGAACCGCUCAGCUGUUCCCCUGGUUGGUCUGCCCGAUACCCCAGGCCACAAAUGGGUCGACCAGAAUUCUGGAAUGACCUGGUCAGCCUGACAGAGGCACAUGGGAAAUGGAGAUAUACAGUUGCCAACAUAACUAACGACAAAGACCACCAUGGACACCGAACUCCAACCUGGUGGGUCACAGGUUCCACUCUGACCUUGUUUGUGAACACCUCUGGUCUGUUUAUUUUAUGUGGCAAUAAGGUAUAUAAAGGGUUCCCACCUAAAUGGUCAGGGCGAUGUGGACUUGGCUACCUGGCACCUUCCCUCACUAGUUAUCCCACUUUAAAUGCUAGCCGGAUUACAGACCUGGGCUCCUUCAGGCAUAAAGUAGCACCGCGUAGAUGCAUCCAACCAGACAUUGUAGGCAAGCCACUCAUGUAUCGCAAUACUGAUUCAGUAAGGACCCUUUUUCCAAGCUUGAAAACUUCUGAUCUAGAAGAAGCAAUUCUGAACAUUUCCAAAGUCAAGGAACAAGGAUUCACUGGCACCCCGCAGACCUUGAAAGCACGUCCGUCAGGGGUUAGCAGUUUCGCCUCUGUGCUCUGAAAUCGCCAUCUCCUGGCUACACAGGCUGCCCAGCAGGGAACACAGUGUGCCAUCAUUGGCAGACGGUGCUGCUUGUAUGUAAAUAAAUCAAAUGAAGUACAGGAUAGUUUGAACCGUAUAAAAGAAUGGGUUGACAUCCUACGUAAAAUGAGUGAAGCACCGUUGAUUAAUUGGACUGACCUUGAGAAUAAGAGACUGGUUCAGUGAAAGAUGGGGCUAUGUGUUGGGAUUUGCUCUUUUAUGCGUAUUCAUCCUCGUUAUCUGUUUUUGUUCGCAGAUCUCUUACCUCCCAACUUCUAAUCCACGUCUCCCCACAGCAAUCUCCCCAGCUCCUUGCCUAUGAAACUUCAUGACAGGGAGAAAGCUGUUGACCACUUAAUCUGGGAUGAUCUGCUGUACUCUCCUGAUUUCCCGUGAGCAUUUAAUCUAUGGUCUAAAGGGUCGUUUGUCUGGUAUGAGUUGUAGCUGUCUUAUGAUUAUGGGCAGCAGCAGCAAGGGGGGCUGUAGGGACCAAGUGGAGGUAGCAUUUAUCGUAUUGCACGUGUCACUCCAUUGCUCCUGUCCUUACAUUAUUCCGUUUAAUUCUCACACAGUGUUCUUCCCGUUUUACAGAUGAAUAAAUUGGAAGGGUAGAUAACUUGCUAAAGAUUAUACCAUUACUGGGACUUCCUGGUGGUCCAGUGGUUAAGACUCUGCACUCCCAAUGCAGGGGGCAUGGGUUCAAUCCCUGGUUAGGGAACUAAGAUCCCAUGUGCCGUGCAGCGCAGCCAAAAAAAAAAAAAAAAAAGACUAUACCAUUACUGAAAAUAAGAGCAAGAUGCAGAACUGGUAGCUAGUGUGCAACCUUUCAUAGAGCAGAGGAAAGAGGAAAAAAUACACAGCCAUUCCUCGGAGAUAUUGUGGGUUUGGUUCCAGACCACUGCAAUAAAGGGAGUCGCACAAAUUUUUUGGUUUCUCUGUGCAAAUAAAAGUUAUGUUUACACUAUACUGUAGUUUAUUAAGUAUGCAGUAGCAACAUGUCUAAAAAACAAUGCACAUCCCUUUAUUAAAAAUAGUUUCUUGCUAGAAAAUGCUAACCAUCACCUGAGCCUUCAUCACGUCAAUCCUUUUUGCAAUAGUGACUUCACAGAUCACCAUAAGAAAUAUAAUAAUAAUAAUGAAAAAGUUUGAAAUAUUGCGAGAGUUGCCAAAAUGUGACACAGAUGCAAAGUGAGCAAAUGCUCUUGGAAAAAUGGAACCAACAGACUUGCUCCACACAGGGUUGCCACAAACUGUCAAUUUGUAAAAUAUGCAGUAUCUGCAAAGUGCAAUAAAGUGAAGCAAUAAAACGAGGUAUGCCUGUAUGUAUACAUACAUAUACUUACUCAGCUUUGCAAAAAGACAACUGAAAGUUGAAUAUAAACGAACUAAUGAACAUUAUAGCAAAUUGACAACUUCACAUAGAGAAAAUUAUUUCAAAAGUUAUUUCAAGCUAUGCCAAAAAAUGAACAGUAUUCUGGGUACAUCCUUAGAGGUGGGUUUAUUGUUCAUAGUGAUAUUGGUAUCAAAAGAAGAUAAAAUAUGAAAACUGUUCCAGUGGUACAGGGCAUAGUAAGAGGGGGACUCAUGAGCAGAAGUCCUCUAUCUGUUCCUUUCCUGUGUGUGUUAAGCAAACAGUAGUUAAACUCUUGCACUGAAACUAGAGAAACCAUUAAAAGAUGAGCAUUCAGCUUUCAGUAUUGGGUAUUUUGUGGUACCUGGAUAGAUGAGGGUCAUGGGAUGCUGAAUUAGAGUGGCAGGAGUGUUCUAAGCAAUUGGGGGAAGUGAUAGGAAAAGAAAUCUAGAUUCUUGACACAAUCUCAAUUUUCUUCUGUAAAAUGGAGAAAAACAGUAAAGGGUAGGUAGGCCACCACUGCUUUCUCGGUGGCCUUUUUGACAAAAACAAUGAUAUAAAGUUUAUUGUUAACGAAUUUCCUUUCAGGAGAAGUUUGAUAGCUACUGACCCUUGGAAUUCAGUGCUCAAGGGUCACUUUUAAAGAGGUUUGAGACAGACUAGAUUAUAAACUUAUUUGUAUACCUAUUGUCUGUUCCCUGGUAGAAUGUAAGCUUCACAAGGACAGGCAUAUUUGUUGAAUCACAAUGAAGAGGGUUGUGGUGAGGAUUGAGUAAUGCAUGUAAAGCUGACCUUGGGCAUUGCUUAACUAAAUGUAAGAUAGAGUUCACUUAGAGCCAAUAUGAGUAGCAGGUUUGAAUUUUGGCAUUGGUUGUUGUCAGAUGUAAAUUUCCAAAAACUUAUGAAUAAAGUUGAUUAUAUGCCAUUUUGGAGUUCUGAUCAUGGCUUACUUUGUUUCCCUUUUCAAGUAUUCGGGUACAUUAGAAACCUUAUGCAUAUAUGCAAAUCUACUUAUUCAGCCCUUAUUUCACACCAUUGAGUUCUAACAAAGUCAGGAGGAAAAGUUGUGAAAUGAGAGUGUAGUAAUUGGAAUGUUAGAAAAUGUCUAUUGGAAGGAUAAGGUCUUAUUCUAUCAACUGGCAUGAGUGAUUUCGAGGUGUGUUUAGCCACACAAUAUUGGGUUAAAGAAUAUGCACCUUUUCUGCUUCCUUAUGUAAAGUUUGUAGGGCAUGAAAAGUUAUAGAAAAUAGUUUCAAAAUUAUUAAUGGACACAUUUUUGAUACUUGGAUCUUAAGUUAUUUUGUAGGACAGAUACUCUCUUUCCAUCAUUUUGUAAGAGAUGGAGCACAAGGUACAUUGGUUGGCAAGAGUUUAUUUGCCAACUGAAAAGCCUCAGAUGUUUUUAACACUUCUUUAAAUUAUUUAUCAACAUUUACCAAGACUCAGUGAAAGAUGCCAGAAAGCAGGGGCCAUUGUAAUCAAUUCUGUUAGAAUUAAGAGUAAUCCUUUGAAUGAUAUUUGUUACGAUGAUAAAUGAUUUGAACACCUUAAUCUACAAAUAGAAUUAAUAUGGGAGACAGCUUCAAGAAGCACUUGAAUUGUGUUCCACCAGACUACCAAAUAGGGGAGACUUAUCAAGGCAAAAACUGCAAGGUUACAGUUGUUACAUAACUUGUUUAUCAAGAAUUAUAAUGGGAGCUGGCAGGAAGUAAGGGUGCUUGUUAAAUAAGGAUUGAUUGGGGUCUGAAAUGGUUGCAUGGUUACAGGAGGGAACAACCUUGAGAUAAGGUUGCAGCUAGCAGAUGGUUUAAAAUGGCUGGUGGGAAAGAAGAUAUACAGAUUGCCAACAAACACAUGGAAGGAUGCUCAACAUCACUAAUCAUUACAGAAAUGCAA